RNAcentral lists this ribosomal RNA (253 nucleotides) under uncultured bacterium. RNAcentral describes it as "partial 16S ribosomal RNA". It matches the Rfam family "Bacterial small subunit ribosomal RNA", at positions 524 to 776 of the family's 1533-position model. The record is from RNAcentral.
GACAGAGGGGGCAAGCGUUGCUCGGAAUCACUGGGCGUAAAGGGCGCGUAGGCGGGAUGGCAAGUCGGUCGUGAAAUCCUUCGGCUCAACCGAAGAACGUCGGCCGAUACUGCCGUUCUUGAGGGAUGCAGAGGAGAUUGGAAUUCCCGGUGUAGCGGUGAAAUGUGUAGAGAUGUGGAGGAACACCGAUGGCGAAGGCAGCCUCCUGGGCCAGCACUGACGCUCAUGCACGAAAGCGUGGGGAGCAAACAGG